Molecule: ribosomal RNA, 1138 nt
Filed under: Lactobacillus sp. Mardan Naser-1
Lineage: Bacteria; Bacillati; Bacillota; Bacilli; Lactobacillales; Lactobacillaceae
Description: bacterial SSU rRNA
Rfam family: Bacterial small subunit ribosomal RNA
Source: RNAcentral
GNNNGGCUAUACAUGCAGUCGAGCGAGCAAUUUUAACGGAAGGCCUUCGGGCUGGAAGCUAAAAGCGCGAGCGGCGGAUGGGUGAGUAACACGUGGGCAACCUGCCCUUUAGCUUGGGAUACCACUUGGAAACAGGUGCUAAUACCAAAUAAGAAGCAAGAGCGCAUGCUCAAGCUAUGAAAGGCGGCUUUCGAGCUGUCACUAAAGGAUGGGCCCGCGGUGCAUUAGCUAGUUGGUAAGGUAACGGCUUACCAAGGCAAUGAUGCAUAGCCGAGUUGAGAGACUGAUCGGCCACAUUGGGACUGAGACACGGCCCAAACUCCUACGGGAGGCAGCAGUAGGGAAUCUUCCACAAUGGACGCAAGUCUGAUGGAGCAACGCCGCGUGAGUGAAGAAGGUUUUCGGAUCGUAAAGCUCUGUUGUUGGUGAAGAAGGAUGUGAAUAGUAACUGAUUCAUAUUUGACGGUAAUCAACCAGAAAGUCACGGCUAACUACGUGCCAGCAGCCGCGGUAAUACGUAGGUGGCAAGCGUUGUCCGGAUUUAUUGGGCGUAAAGCGAACGCAGGCGGGAGAACAAGUCAGCUGUGAAAGCCCUCGGCUUAACCGGGGAAGUGCAGCUGAAACUGUUUUUCUUGAGUGCAGAAGAGGAGAGUGGAACUCCAUGUGUAGCGGUGGAAUGCGUAGAUAUAUGGAAGAACACCAGUGGCGAAGGCGGCUCUCUGGUCUGUAACUGACGCUGAGGUUCGAAAGCAUGGGUAGCGAACAGGAUUAGAUACCCUGGUAGUCCAUGCCGUAAACGAUGAGUGCUAAGUGUUGGGAGGUUUCCGCCUCUCAGUGCUGCAGCUAACGCAUUAAGCACUCCGCCUGGGGAGUACGACCGCAAGGUUAAAACUCAAAGGAAUUGACGGGGGCCCGCACAAGCGGUGGAGCAUGUGGUUUAAUUCGAAGCAACGCGAAGAACCUUACCAGGUCUUGACAUCUAGUGCCAGUCCUAGAGAUAGGAUGUUCCCUUCGGGGACACUAAGACAGGUGGGUGCAUGGGUUGGUCGUCAGCUUCGGUGGUCGUGGAGAUGUUUGGGGUUAAGUCCCGCCAACGGGGCGGCAACCCUUAUUAUUAGUUUGGCCAGNCAUUUUAANU